Molecule: ribosomal RNA, 253 nt
Filed under: uncultured bacterium
Lineage: Bacteria
Description: partial 16S ribosomal RNA
Rfam family: Bacterial small subunit ribosomal RNA
Source: RNAcentral
UACGUAGGGAGCAAGCGUUGUCCGGAAUCAUUGGGCGUAAAGCGCGCGUAGGCGGCCCGGUAAGUCCGUUGUGAAAGUCAAAGGCUCAACCUUUGAAUGCCGAUGGAUACUGCCGGGCUAGAGUCCGGAAGAGGCGAGUGGAAUUCCUGGUGUAGCGGUGAAAUGCGCAGAUAUCGGGAGGAACACCGGUGGCGAAGGCGGUUCUCUGGGCCUUACCUGACGCUGAGGAGCGAAAGCGUGGGGAGCGAACAGG